CACGUAGGGCGCAAGCGUUGUCCGGAAUUAUUGGGCGUAAAGAGCUCGUAGGCGGUCUGUUACGUCUGCUGUGAAAACCCGGGGCUUAACCCUGGGCUUGCAGUGGAUACGGGCAGACUAGAGGCAGGUAGGGGAGAAUGGAAUUCCCGGUGUAGCGGUGAAAUUCGUAGAUAUUGGGAAGAACACCGGUGGCGAAGGCGGCUAUCUGGCCCGUAAUUGACGCUGAGGCGCGAAAGCGUGGGGAGCAAACAGG
RNAcentral lists this ribosomal RNA (253 nucleotides) under uncultured bacterium. RNAcentral describes it as "partial 16S ribosomal RNA". It matches the Rfam family "Bacterial small subunit ribosomal RNA", at positions 524 to 776 of the family's 1533-position model. The record is from RNAcentral.